GUGCUCACUUUGGCAGCACAUGCACUAAAACUGGAAUGAUACAGAGAUUAGCAUGGCCGCUGCGCAAGGGUGACACGCAAAUUUGUGAAGCGUUCUAUAUUUUU
Molecule: small nuclear RNA, 104 nt
Organism: Heterocephalus glaber (naked mole-rat)
Lineage: Eukaryota; Metazoa; Chordata; Mammalia; Rodentia; Bathyergidae
Source: Ensembl